Molecule: long non-coding RNA, 1399 nt
Organism: Arvicanthis niloticus (Nile rat)
Lineage: Eukaryota; Metazoa; Chordata; Mammalia; Rodentia; Muridae
Source: RefSeq, a predicted model, not a curated record
GGUCAGGGGUCAUUGUGGAAGAAAGAGGGAGAGAAAGACUGUAAGAGCCAGGGAUGAUGAAUGACCACAACCGAAGCGUUUUCUGGACACAGCCGGGCAGUUGCACAUACAAACUCACAGCGGCUGUGACAGCAUGCACAAGAUCCGCACAAGCUCGAGCCAGACAUGUUAGCAUGGAGUGUGACAGAUGGGAUGGAGCCCACUCCUGGAUGAGCUAAUUGAUAGCUGUAACGGGAGAAAGAUGGUUCUCUUUAAGGGAGUGUCCCUGGCGGGUUCAACACGUUCCAGAGGACGGUCACACAUCUAAAAGUCCACAGUUAGAGCCAUGGAACGUGAUGGGUUUAAAAGGGAGCGCCCCAGCUGGGACCUACCCAAGCAAAGGCCUGUUUCAGAUGCAUGCUUUUUAAAAAAAAAAAAAAAAAAAAGAUAUUACUUUCUACAUCUGUGUGUUGGUGUGUGCAUAUGACUGCAGGUGCCUGCAUGCCCACAGAGGCUAGAGGUUCUAUGUCUCUCUGGAGCUGUGGUGACAGACGGCUAUGGGCCACCUGAUGUGGGUGCUAGCUGCAGGAACCCAACUCAGAUCAUCUGCCAGAGCAGCCUACUAAGCAUCUCUCCAGCCUCUUAGAUGCAUUUACAACCAACAAACCAGACCUGCUAUGCUCCCCCUAUGGACAGCCUUUCAAUGACUCUAUUGUACUUAUAAUGAAGGGUAAAGUCAACCAAAGAGAAAUGAAAAUUGCCAUUUAUGGCACCAGAGAUAGAAUGGAAGGGGAUACUGUGUUAAGUGAAAUGGGCCAGGCACAGAGAUACAAAAAAUCACAAGUUGUCACUCAAGAUAAAAGGUUGAUUUUGUAGAAGCAGAACAUAGAAUGGUGGUUAACAGAUGCUGAGGAAUGGCGGAGAGAGAGUCAGAAGGAAAUCAGUAGCAGUAUUAAUGAAGGAAAGCAGUCUUGGAGCUUCAUGGCCCAGCUUCUCAAACACGUGGUUGUCCAACUGAACGCAGAGAUCACAAGAACGUUGACAAGAGAAGAGGAUUCUGAAUGUACAAUCGCUACAAAUUAAUUUAGAAGAAAUGCAGAACAAAGUUGAGGUGUCUCUGGCAACAUUAUCCUAGGCUGCAUGGCAGGAUUCCACUCAGCCUUGGUUAUGAACAUGUAACACGAUGCACUGGGCACACUCUCAUGCAGUGACCAUGGAUGCUGGCUGAGACACUCCACCUUGGGACUACUGUAUGCUUUGAGUCACAGCGUCUCCCUGUACAUCAUGUUUUAUGCUUUUAUAGAAGCAUAAUGGUUUCAUCACAGAACACGAAGACUUUCAAUAUUCCCCUGCUAUCACUCACCAAUGUGUACCAAAUUGAUUUACCUUUGGAUUGUACUAUUAAAAUAUCGACACAUUG